RNAcentral lists this unclassified non-coding RNA (171 nucleotides) under uncultured Ascomycota. RNAcentral's name for it is "sequence contains ITS1". Lineage: Eukaryota; Fungi; Ascomycota. The record is from RNAcentral.
CAGAGUUGCAAAACUCCCCAAACCAUUGUGAACCUACCACUAAACAGUUGCUUCGGCGGGCGGCCGCGAGGGCCCCUUCACGGGGGCCGGAGCGCCCUAGACAGCCCGCCGGAGGUACCCAAACUCUUGUUUAACUAAAGGCCUCUCUGAGUACUGUACUUAAAUAAGUCA